This is a long non-coding RNA of Sander lucioperca (pikeperch), 1020 nucleotides long. Lineage: Eukaryota; Metazoa; Chordata; Actinopteri; Perciformes; Percidae. The record is from Ensembl.
GGGGGUACAGCUGGGAUGCUGAACAGCGCCACUGGGCUACUGAAGCCUCAGAAAAAAAGACCUGCAGAUUUUGUGAGCUCAGGGCAAAAAACAAAAACUGGAUGGUGAGGGGAAUCGAGUGAUGACGAAGAACAGGAACAUGUGAUGGUGUGAGAGUUCAGACGGUGGUGGAAACUUUCAUCAGAGGAUUUGUGAAGCUAAGGAGGAAGGGAGGACGUACAUAAAAGACAACCACACCAACUCACUGUCUCUGAUCAUUCAAUCGUCAAACAUCACAGGAGCAGAUCCAGAAGUCUUUGCCAGCUACAGGCCCAUCUCAAAUCUUCCAUUCCUUUCCAAGGUGCUGGAAAAAGUUGUUGCCACACAGCUUCAGGACCAUCUAACCCAAAACAACCUGUAUGAGAAGUUCCAGUCUGGUUUCCACCAAGGCCACAGCACGGAAACAGCUCUGGUCAGGGUUACAAAUGACCUACUGAGGACGGCAGACGCUGGCUCCCCAUGUCUUCUCAUUCUCCUGGACUUAACUGCUGCGUUUGACACCGUGGACCACAACAUCUAUUGUCCAUUCCUUUGUCUCAUCCAGGCUCGACUACUGCAAUGCGCUCCUCAUUGGGAUCUCUGGAAAAGCCUCCUGAAGCUGCAGUACAUUCACACGUUCCCUCCGCUCUGGUUCAGCCUAUCUCCUGAAACCCCGCAGAACCAAGCUCUGUACUAUGGGCGAUGGGGCAUUUUGCUCAGCUGCUCCCAGGCUGUGGAAUGCUCUCCCCGACCACCUGAGGACACCACAGACUGUGGACGCUUUUAAACGUGGCCUUAAGACCCACCUUUUUAGCAGAUCUUUUGGCUGAUUACCUACCCCUUUCCUUGUCCUUUUGUUGUUUCUUUUAGUUUUAAUACUUUUUUCUCCUUAGCAUUUCUAUGUAGCACUUUGAGAUUUGCUUAAAUAUAAAGUGUGUUACAAAUAAAACGUAUUAUUAUUAUUAUUAUUAUUAUCUUCAUAUGGGCCUCGCCUAAGUGUAG